Dreissena polymorpha is the source of this 1766-nucleotide long non-coding RNA. RefSeq lists it as uncharacterized. The transcript has 2 exons. The record is from RefSeq and is a predicted model, not a curated record. NCBI's taxonomy places the organism in Eukaryota, Metazoa, Mollusca, Bivalvia, Myida, Dreissenidae.
AUAACGCAGAGACCCGGGAGCAGAGACACUCACCCGUAAAAUAUUCAUUGCACUGUAUCCCCGCACCUGUUGUGACGCAUAUAAACGGUGUCGAAGUAAACAGUGUAGUUGAAACAUCAUCGUUAAAUUUAUGGAUUAAACUGGGAAUUUUGCAAUCAGGCGUGAUGACAGAGGUUGUCGUAACUUCACAACCGGAAGGCGUGGUUGCCCCAAGUAAUGUGCAAUUGUUUGAAAAGAACGAGCAAACUACAGGCGUCACUGUGUUUGAAACCAAAGAGCAAAAGAAGAGGAAAAAUGUUGACAUGUAUACCACAAGUGACGAUAGCUGCCUUCUGUGCCUCGCAUGCUGCUGCUUCUGCUGUGCGGACAACAAAAGUGGAGGAGGAAACGACGAGUGUUGUGAUUGUGGAGACAGCAAUUGCUGCGAUUGUGGGGGUUGUGAUUGUGGGGGAUGUGAUUGUUCAGACUGCUUUGGAUGAGACGAAAAAGAUAUGUUAAUAUUUGCUUUCGCUAGCUACCUCGGCCAGGAUAAGCUCAGGCAUGCGGAUAAAUAUGAGCUUAUGUAAGAUGGUUAUUGUGUUGUGAUGGCAAUUUCUAAGGCCAACAUGACAUGAGCAGUAUGUAGUGAAAUUAAAAGUGGAAAUACGCCAACCAAAAACAAACAAUCCUUAUUAAAUUAAGAAUUUAAAGUUAUAUUGCAGAAAAAUGGUUGUCUUAGUAUAUUCCAUAAGCCUUUAACAAUAAACAUGUGUGCAUACUUUAUCAUUAACACAAUUUGGAUAAAAUACUUUUUUGUGAUUGGUUCAAAUCCUGGAAAAUUUAUCAAAAUGAAGAAUAGACAAUGUUUUUCUAGUCUCUGCUAUAGCAAGAGAAGGAUGUAGUCUUUUUGCCACGAAGCUGUCCAUGUUUAUAUCUUUUUUGACCUUGAUCAACAGCCAAUAAAAUGUUCUAGACAAUUGUGCUACUGAAUUGAAAAAAUGAAUAGUAUAUAGAUUCAGCAAAGUGUUUUUCAACGAUGCUAGCCGAUGGUUGAUCUUGAAACUAUUGACUCUCAUAUAUGAGUCGCGUUCUGAGAAAACGGGGUUUAAUGCAUGUGCGUAAAGUGUCGUCCCAGAUUAGCCUGUGCAGUCCGCACAGGCUAAUCAGGGACGACACUUUCCGCCUUAACUGGAUUUUCGUGUAGGAGAGACUUCCUUUUAACAAAAAUACCAUACAAACGGAAAAUGUCGUCCCUGGUUAGCCCGUGCGAACUGCACAGGCUAAUCUGGGACGACUCUUUACGCACAUGCAUUAUGCCCAGUUUUCUCAGAACGCGACUUAGUUUGAAUAACACUACAUAAUCACGUGGAUGUGGGUCAUUUUUCGGCGGAGCUGUCUAACCCAGCUUUUCACUUUACCUGACCUUUGUAAGUGUCCAAUAAAAUUUCCCGCGGCUAGAUCCGAAUGAAUACACUUCAUUUAUUCCAUUGGCUGAUUUGAGCAUAAUUUCACAGAACAUCGGCAACACGAUCGCGUCUUUGUAACGAUGUUAAAUGCAUGUUCAGCAUGAAUCUACUUUACUUUUAUAAAAAGGCUUGAGGGAUAGAACAGUUUUACACCCAACUAACGACAUCAAUACAGUUUGUGUGUGGCCCUUUACAUUUAGAAGAUUGUCAGCGCCAUAGCGUUUGUACUUAAAGGCUGUGUUCUCAUAUUUAGUUAUUACGACCGUAUUGCAUGCUUUGAUCACGCAUAUUUUAGACCAUAUAAAAUAUUGUUGUUCCCUA